This is an RNA transcript of Ictalurus punctatus (channel catfish), 3801 nucleotides long. It is a transcript of the gene named putative monooxygenase p33MONOX, with no coding region annotated. NCBI's taxonomy places the organism in Eukaryota, Metazoa, Chordata, Actinopteri, Siluriformes, Ictaluridae. The transcript has 5 exons. The record is from RefSeq and is a predicted model, not a curated record.
GAAGCACUUCCGGCCGGAAGUAAACCAGUUUCAGCCAGUUUGCGCUUUUAGCAUUAUAGCGAUAAGGCGACUUUGUUGAUCAGAGUAUUUAUUUCGAUAUAUAACCAGCGGAGUUAAUCGAUCGAUAAGACCGGGUCAAAUUAAAAAAAUAUGGACAGAAUAAAAAACUGGUUUAAGUCGGAUAAAGAAAAAAAUCUACAAUUUAAAAGGUGAUGCUGUAUGGGUUCGUGUUGAGUGUGAAUGUCUGUGAUGGAGGGAAGGGACACCCCAGUGAUCUUCUCAGCUGUCCUCACUGUCCUCCGCAGGGUCUUCUGAUCCUGCGUAGAAGGGUUGGUGCUGAGGAUGAGGGGUGGGAGAUGGGCGAUGGGCUUUUCGCAGAAAGUAGAGACGCUGCUUGUCUUUGUUGUUUGUGGAGCUGGUGUUGAGGGACCAGGCGAGGUUCUCCGGCAGGGAUUUGGUGCUCUUGACGAUUUCUACGGAGGAUCCGGCGAUGUUCAGUGGAGCCGAUGAUAUUCUGUUAUGUUUCGUCCACGAUAAGCAACAGGUCGUUGGCUCUGCACCAGUCGGUUAGUCGCUUCACCUCCUCUCUGUAUGCUGACUCGUCCUUCCUGCUGAUGAGACCCACCAUGGCCGUGCCAUCUGCAAACAUGAUUAUGCCCGGUGCGGUGGUGCUGGAGAUGCUGCUCCCGAUCUGGACUGACUGAGCUCUCGGCGUCGGGAGUCGUGUCGGCCUUGGCGUCGGGAGUAGUGUCGGCCUUGGCGUCGGGAGUCGUGUCGGCCUUGGCGUCGGGAGUCGUGUCGGCCUUGGUGUCGGGAGUCGUGUCGAAGUUGAAGAUGUUUACUGGGGACUUUGAGGACAGGCUUUCAACAUCAGCACCACUCACCUCCGUCUCAUCGUCCACGUCCCACCCAGCUCCGUCUCAGGAUCUCCUCUAGCCUGGCCUUCACCGCAUCCGACUCCAGCAGCGAUCACAUCAGGCGUCUCCAUGGGUGGAAACGAAGGCGGCGGACGCGGAGACCGAUGGAGCCUCUUCGGGAUGCGUCCCACCGUGCAGAAAUCCCCCACCGACCCCGGCUCCGAUUCCAACACCUCGGGAGGGUUCAACCUGCAGUCGUGCUUCGGGCUUCAGAAAUCCACCACCCUGGACGGCAUCAAGACCCAAGUGAACCUCGCGGUCGAAGACCCCGCCAACUUCAAGUCUUCCAACCUGGAGGUGACCGCAGCGGAGGGAAAAAAGGCAUCUGCGCAUAAACUCAAACAUCGCGACAUGAACAUUCUCACUCCGUCCGGCUUCUGACGUCGGCGUCCGCUUCGUCGUCCUUUCCCCCUCUGCUCAGGUCGCUCACACACUCACUCCGCACAAACUUACACACACAGAAUACAGGGCAAAUCAUUCAGCCAGACGUUUGUAUCCGUCUCCGAUGCCAAAUUUCUUUCGACGCUCAGACACAUGUAACCCGAAUUGAACCGAGUUUCAGCUUUACUGUGAUCGUGAUGGUGCAGUGUCACAUGACAACCGAAAUACAUCUGCUUUAUCUCUGAAUGUCCUCCAUUUUAUUGUGCUCCAGUCAGAUCGUAUGAAACAGGGUAUCACGCCGCCGCGCAAGAAACCUGCUUUAACAGCACGCCGACAUUACGAGGAAUCUUUUUGUAAAUAGUACCGACGUUCUGUUCGAACCGUGUCGCGUCAUCGUUUCGCGAGGCGUUCGUUGCUUGUCCAUCCAUAGAACUUUUUUUUUUUUUUUGCGGUGUAUAUUUAUAUCUAUGCAGUCCAGGGGCGUUACGGCGUCACAGUUUCACGGUGGACUUUAAAAGAAAAAAAAAAAGUAUUUAUUUAUUACAAUACAGAAUCACAUUCCCGUACUGUUUUGAUGUACGACCCCCAAUCGCCAAAAAAGUUGGGACGCUGUCUCAAAACAGAAUGCAACGAUUUGCAAAUCUCCUAAAAACACACGUCAUUCACAAUAGAACAUAUCAAGCGUUUAAACCGAGGAAACGUACCGUAGUACGGAUUUCUGAAUUCGAUGGCUCCGACACGUCUCGAAAAAAGUCGGGACGGGGGCAAGAAAAGGCUGGAAAAGUAAGUGUCAGUAAAAAGAAACAGCAGGAAGUUGAUUGGGAACAGGUCACGAGUGCGUGUUUUUUACGGGCGGGAGCACCGCAACGUGUUUAGAUCGAAACGUCCGCUUGCAGAUUUCAACGAAUGGCAGCGUUGUCACGGUAUGAUUUUUAUCUCCAGGAUUUUAUUUAUUUAUUUAUUUAUUUAUUUAACAGAUGCAUACGCCUGGACAGACUUCACCACGUUUAACCUCCUACAGAUUCCAUCGUAUCCUUUGUUUCAUUUUCAAGUGACUUACUAAUGAUCAAGAGCAACUCACAUGGUGUGUGUGUGUGUGUGUGUGUGUGUGUGUGUGUAUAUAUAUACAUAUACACACACACACACACACACACUACCGGUCAAAAGUUUAGACACACUCAUUCUGUAUUCAAAUUUUUUCCCACACAUUUUAGAAUAAUAAUAAUAAAGUCGUCAAAACUCUGGAGUAACACAAGUGGAACUAUGGGAAUUAUGUUGUGAUAAAAAUCCCAAAUAAAUCAAAAUAAUUGAGUAUUUUAGCAUCUUCAAAGUCGACGCCCUUUUUGUCUAGAAUUUCCAGAAACGUAUUCUUGGCGUUUUCUCGAGCGAUUUCUUGAGGAAUUUCCCCCGAGAUGUUUUUUUUUUAAUCAGUCUUAAAGGAGUUCCCACCGACGCCGGACUCUUCUCUCCUGCUUUUCGGAAAUAUUUCUCUCCGAGUCGUCCGUUUAAAAUAAACAUUUAUCUUGUAAAUAAAACGUCAGUUUUCUAACGAAAGAAACGAACACGUCGGCGCGAUGAUAUUUCUGUCUACGACACCGAUUUCACACGUUUAAUCACACACCUUCCGAUCAGAAGCGUUUUAACAUCACGAGAAACGUUUCAGUCGAGCGUCCACAAACUUUUGACCGGCCGUGUAGUAAAGGUUAAAUACCGUAUUAAAACGAGCUCUGUGUGAUGAGCACGCGCACAUCAUGGUGAUUUACCCCUCCACGCGCUCGUACACAUGACAUCCCGAACACGUCUACGUGUAACGAGACGGACGCGGUUUUUGAAUGUCCGUUACGUGCCGUGAAACCGUGACGUUUUCGGACACGCCCGGUACAGACGCCACGUCUUGGUUACACCAGCGCCGGAGUCCCUCGUACUGUUCUGCGUGCUGGACGUGCUGAUAAAACAGGUUCGUAGCGUCCCAGCGCUCACUCGCCCGUGUCUGCCGAUGGUGUGAGAUCGAGGUGUCCCCGAGUCCCUCCGCCCAUAAGCAAUAGCAUUUCACGGGAUGGAGUUAUAUAUUAAAUGCAUAUUAAAGUACUGCGCUGUAUUGUUUUUAAACACCAACCCUUUUUCUUUUUUUUUUUUUUCUUUUUCCUAGACAUUUCUAGACACCCUGUGACUGAAACACAUUUUGUAUUUCAAUUCCUGCUCUGAUCUAUAUAUUAUAUAUUAUAUAAUAUAUAUUAUAUAUUAUAUAUUUAUCACACUAAUUGCUUUUGUAGUGAUGUUUUUUUUUAAAGUGUUUUUUUUAAAGUAUUUUUUUUCCAUUCACUUAAAUGUUACAACUAGUGAAAUUACUACUUUUUUGCAUUCCAGUUUACACACACACACACACACACACACACACACACACACACACACAUUUCAUGUUUUUGUUUUGUAUAAAGAUUUAUCUGCCAUGCAGCUGUUCAGUUUGAGUCUGAUGCCUCGAAUAAAGUUUUAAGUCAAGUCA